CCUACGGGAGGCUGCAGUGAGGAAUAUUGGUCAAUGGACGAGAGUCUGAACCAGCCAAGUAGCGUGAAGGAUGACUGCCCGAUGGGUUGUAAACUUCUUUUAUAUGGGAAUAAAAUGUUCCACGUGUGGGCUUUUGUAUGUACCAUAUGAAUAAGGAUCGGCUAACUCCGUGCCAGCAGCCGCGGUAAUACGGAGGAUCCGAGCGUUAUCCGGAUUUAUUGGGUUUAAAGGGAGCGUAGGUGGAUUGUUAAGUCAGGUGUGAAAGUUUGCGGCUCAACCGUAAAAUUGCAGUUGAAACUGGCAGUCUUGAGUACAGUAGAGGUGGGCGGAAUUCGUGGUGUAGCGGUGAAAUGCUUAGAUAUCACGAAGAACUCCGAUUGCGAAGGCAGCUCACUGGACUGCAACUGACACUGAGGCUCGAAAGUGUGGGUAUCAAACAGGAUUAGAUACCCGAGUAGUC
This 460-nucleotide ribosomal RNA is filed under the name uncultured bacterium. RNAcentral describes it as "partial 16S ribosomal RNA". It matches the Rfam family "Bacterial small subunit ribosomal RNA", at positions 338 to 795 of the family's 1533-position model. The record is from RNAcentral.